This 15001-nucleotide long non-coding RNA is filed under the name Triticum aestivum (bread wheat). Its description in RNAcentral is "long non-coding RNA (TAES_LNC017780)". Lineage: Eukaryota; Viridiplantae; Streptophyta; Magnoliopsida; Poales; Poaceae. The record is from RNAcentral.
UUCACCCCCAUCCGCCGCCCCGGCUCCUUCGACUUCGACGGCGCAUGGUAAUCAUACCGGACCAGCUCAAUACGUAGGAGCGUCAGUGUUAAUUGCACUGCUCUGAAUCUCUGAUAAUGCUUUUCUUGUUGCUGCGAGUGAAGGCUGUUCAACUACGGGAUCGGCAUCCACCUGCUGCAGUCGGAGCAUCCAGAGAGCUUACCGGCGAAGAAGGAGAUCAACCCCAAGGAUAACCACAUCUCCUUCCAGGUACGUUGUGGUAGUUAAUUUCGAUUUGGUUGCGAACAGCUCUCUCUCUCUCUCUCUCUCUCUCUCUCUCUCUCUCUCUCUCUCUCUCUCUCUCUCUCUCUCUCAAAAGGAGUAUUAGGGUGUGACGAAAGCGACGUCGGCGUCCUGUCGCCGGCGACGGCCCGCAUGUGUUCCGCGAGUAACAGUGCCGUUAUGUGCGAUCGAUGGCCGACAACGACGGGUCGGGCUGAUGUGCACACGUACGUGCACGGCGCAUAAGUCUUCCAUUUCGCGCGUUGGUUCCUUGUUCCGUCGUAGAUGCACGAUGGAUACCAGGUCAAGUCACCACUCACCACACAGAAACUGAAGUUGGAUGCUGAGUCAGAAUGUCUCACUAGCUGAGAUCAAUUUUCGUUUAUCAAAUACAGUAUAAGAAAAGCUUCUGAGACUAAUGAAGGCGCAAAAUUGUUGUGUUUUGUGUGCAGUGCGAGAGCAUGGUGGCGGUGGAGCGGCGGCUCAAGGAGCUGGGCAUCCCGUACAUCCAGCGGUGCGUGGAGGAGGGCGGCAUCUACGUGGACCAGAUCUUCUUCCAUGACCCCGACGGCUUCAUGAUCGAGAUCUGCAACUGCGACAAGCUCCCGGUCGUCCCGCUCGCCGGCCAGAACUUCGCCAUGGCCGCCUGCAAGAGGGUCGCCUCCGUCAAGCAACAGCAGCUGCCCAUGCCAGUCGCACAAGUAGCGCAAGCAACCCCUGCUCCGGCGGCGGCCGCGGCUUCGCAGUGCGUUCCGGCGCCGAACCCGGCCUUGCAGCGCGUCGGCGGCGCAUAUCUCGUGCGCGUGAGGGGUGGGGGGCCGGGGUAGCCAGGCCGCCCAACUGGUGGGUGGCGCGCUCCGUGGAGUUGUGGUUUUUGUACAUUGUGAUACGACAGUGUGCGUAUGAAUAAAGCGAGGGGAGCAGAGUGUAGUUUCAGCUUCAAAUCUGCGUCUCGGAGCGGAUGAGCCCUCUGUUUGCUCUGUUUUUCCUCCCCGUCCUUCGAACUACUGUAGUAGGCCAGUAUUUAACCAAAAACUACCACAUUUCACAAAAAUGUGACAGAGUACUAUCUCUUUACGAUUUUGUGCGGAAAACUAUCACUUUUGUCCUAAUCCGUGGCAAAAUACUACCAAGUUUCGAAACCGAUCGCUUCACCAGCACUAAGCACCAAACUAAUCAGCCGGUUCCACGUUUCAGGCGCCACGAUGGCCAACCGAUGCGGCAGAUGGCCAACCGAUGCCUGCCGCGCGUCCGCGGUCGGAAACGGCGUCGUCAUCAAAUGGUCGGUCCCACGUUUUGGUGCAUUGAACGCAAACCGACAACCGCCCCGCCAACCGACAACCGCCCCGCCGUUUCCGACUACGGACGUGCCUUUAACACACGGCGGGCGUCGGUUAACCACCAUAGCACCUGAAACGUGGGACCGGCUAGUCAGUUUGAUGCUUAGCGCGGACAAAGCGACCAGUUUCAAGAUUUGAUAAUUUUUACCAUGAAUUAAGACAAAAGUGAUAGUUUUCUGCAUAAAAUCAUAAAAUAGUAGUUUUCUGUCACGUUUCCCUGAAAUGUGAUAGUUUUUAGUUAAAUACUCGUAAUAGGCACUACUCCCUCCUAAAGUUCUUCUUUUAGAUUUUACUACCCCGUUUCUAAAUGCAAGUUUUUUUAGAAAUUUUAAUAUGAACUACGUAUAUAUGUAUAAACAUAGUUUAAAGUUAGAUUUGUUUAUUUUGCUUCGUAUAUAGUUUCUAUUAAAAUCUAUUUUUUAAUAUUAAUAUAAACAUAAGUAUUCAUAUACAUACGCAUACACUAAUCCUUAUGAACGCACACAUGUACACCAACACGUACAUCCUAUCCAUAUGAGCACCUCUGAAAGACUGAGCCGACAUAUCAUCUUAUGAUUUACGAAGUCACCGUAGGCGCCUCAUCCUCGACGGAAUCGUCUUCUUCCACUGAAUCGCCAAAAAUCCUAAAAUAAAUCUAAAAAUAAAUGCGAGCAUCAGGAUUUGAACCCUGAUAGGCUAGAGAUACCAUAGUCCCUCUAACCAUCUAACUACAAAUUGGUUCACUAAAAAAACAAAAAUGCCACACCUUCGAAAAAUACUACUAAUCUUACGUUUUCCCUAAUCUUAACCAAUCCUUGCCUAAUUUUCAGGGUGGGGAGGCCUGUUAUCUAACUAAACAAAGCCACAUCGUCCUGUACGUAACUCUUCAAAAAACCUUUGGUAAGUGUAGUAAAGCCCUUAGAAAAGACUUAUACUUCCUUUGUAAACUAAUAUAAAAAUAUUUAGAUUAUUAAAGUAGUGCUUUAAACACUUUUAUAUUUGUUUACGGAUGAAGUAUUUAGGAACAGGGUAUUGAUAUGUCUUGUCUAAAUCGAGACGAGCUUGAUGAAGGCGAGCUCUAGAUGGGGCCAGCCCAUUGCGCCUCUGACCAGAAGCUAGACGCCAUAUUCCCAUCCUUUUUUUGUUUUCUAUUACUUCAUUUAUAUUUUCAGAUAUUCCAUAUUACAAAAGGAACACUUUACAUAAAACACUUAGAAAAUUGUUAAUGGAGUAUUUAAAAAUACUAAAUAUGUACAGAAAAAAUUAGCAUGUAAAUAAAAAGUGUAUACAAAAAAUAUAGAACGUGAAAUGUGUACAGAAAAAUAUUGACCACUUACUUAAAAAAUGUUAAUCCAAGAAUUUAAAGAAAUGUUAAACAAGUGUUUGAAAAAUGUUAUUGUAAAUUGUGUAUAUAAAAAAUAUUGACCAUCUAGUCAAAAAUAUUAAAAUUCCAUUUGAAACUAUAAUUGUGAAUUAUAUCUUAAAAAAUGUUAAUCCAAGAAUUCAAAGAAAUGUUAAACAAGUGUUCGUAAUUUUUUAAACUUGCAUUUGUAAAUUGUCUAUAUAACAAAUAUUGACCAUGUAGUCAAAAAAUAUUAAAAUUCCAUUUGAAACUAUAAAUGUGUAUUAUAUAUAGUCAAAGAUUUAUUUGACCGGUGGGUCCAUCGACGACGCCGUCUUCACUCUGUCACACCAUGCCCUUGCUCAACAGCCCCGUCGCCAUGUACCUCUGUCGUGCAUACCUAAUAGACUCGCUAUGCCGCCGCCCUCGCCUUGCCUUGCCUCCCGUCCUCCUCGCCGCCGUCCCCAUCCAACGAAUUCAUGGGUUCACUCAACGGCGGCUGGCGGCGUGGAAGCUUGCGGGAGCAGUAACUAUGGUGCGAUAUCGAGCAAAAAAAGGAGACGGGGAAUGAUCAUGAGCUCACUGCGGUUCUUCUGGUGCAGACGAUGAGAUCUAGGAAGCACAACAUGCGUCGAAUUUGUCGAUGGCUUCUGGUGGCCGUAGUCGAGGAACACGACCCGAUUCACCCGGCUUGGGGUAGCUGGAGCCUAUUCCUUUGUCUGGGCUGUCGAGGGAGACCAGGUGGAGCUAUGUGGCGUGUUGGUUUGGCGAGUGGUGGCCGCUUGCCAUGAAGACGACACCGGCAUCAUGGUGCUCUUGGGGGUUUCGAGAUUGCGGGGAAGAGAUGGGAAUGGCCAUGGGGGAGAUGUUGGAAAUAUGCCUAAGAGGCAAUAAUAAAUUGGUUAUUAUCAUAUUUCCCUGUUCAUGAUAAACGUCUAUUAUCCAUGCUAGAAUUGUAUUGAUCGGAAACUCAGAUACAUGUGUGAAUACAUAGAUAAAUACUGUGUCCUUUGUGACGGCAUCGAUCAUCGUCUGGCCAGGCACACGUGACUUCGUCACGGGGAUGCUGGAACACAAUAAUGAGAAAGAAGAACAAAACUGGUAACGACGAUUUCGGUAUAGUGAGCAUAGUGAUGACUCAGGAGGAUACGAUGCAUCUCGGGUUUUGUGUAGUAUCGUGAAGCAAAGGGACCAUCACAUGAUAACCUAAGGUUCACUCGAAUAUCAUUCGUGUACUCAUAGGGACCGAUGCAGACAUCCAUGGUCCCGCUGUUGGUCAUUGAACGAAUGAUUUCAUUCAUGUCUACGAGUUACCGAACCUACAUGGUCACAAGCUUAAGGCAAUCAUGAUCUGCUGAGUAUUAGUAGGUCGGGAGUCAUGAGAAUAUAUCUGUGGAGUUAAUUCAUGAAUAUUUGGAAUAGUUUCGAGAGGAUUCGGAAGCGUUUCGGGGUCACCGGAAGGGUUUCAGUGAAUAUCGGGUAAUAGCGGGUAUUACCAAUACUUCUUAUAUAUAUAGUCAAAAAACAAUGAUAGAUUGGAUAAUUGCCUUCUAGAAUAUAUAUUUUGCACCCAUAGACCAACGCUUCUACUUUCACCCCUUCCAUAUUUGAACAAUCCUUUUCGUAAGAUGAGUACAACUAUCACUCCUAUCCAGUUCCAUCAUGGUUGGGGACCAAGGUAUUUAUUAGAGAUAGCUUCAGUCAUAAUAUUUAGUUCUCAAUAGAUUUGGGCUUUAACAUCAACAUUUAUGUUUGGAGUAAAAAUGAUACUACAGCCGUGUUUGUUUCAGCUUCACUUGGAUUUUAAUCACAUGUGGAUUCGCUUCAGUGCCAAAGCUGAUUCGCACCAAAGUACACUUUGAGAUGCUUCAAGAAAUUGCACUCAAAAUAGCCCAAAUCCAGAUUCAGCUUUACUAGCAAAGCUGAAUUCUCUGAUUCAGCUUCACUAGCAAAGCUGAAUCAUGUCCCAUAAUCCGAAACAAAACAAGGCCUACAUAUAUCUUUGCUUACCAACUAGCCUGAAUUUGUACAAUAUUCAUCUUACACUUCUCUCAACGAGGUUACAAUAAUUAAAUCAGCCUUCAUAAGUAUUAGGGAAUCAUCAACAAACAGUCAAACUCUGGAAUUUUGGAGCCUCUAGGCGUAAGCACAAAUAAUAUUUCCUUUUUUCAGCUUUCAUUCUCUUUACGCGGAGAAAAGAUUUAGGUGCCAUUGUCUUUUGCAUCUGUGGCAAAUUCUGUUAAUCUUUUUCAACUUUGAUGGUAGCAUAUAAGGACAUUUGUGGUGGUGUUAAGUAGCAUGCAAGUAUAUUGUCCGUUUCCUUUUAUUAGUUUAGACUUUUUUAAAUACGCAUGGUAGAUUCCCUUAAUGAAAGCUGCGAGGAACCUUCGCACAAUCAAAAAGUGUUUUAUUGUCGUCUGUGAGCCGAAGAUUUGGGCCAGAAUGGACGUCCUCGGAGGAUGAGACGAACACGAACAGUCUAGAUGAGGAUGACGUGGAGCCACGUGUCAGCGGUGUCUGCUCCCGCGCAGCUUUAUAAAGGAGCACAACUCCAAUUCACCCUCCGCAUCUUUCAUUCGUGCCUGAAGCAGCAACCAUUGCCCAUUGCUAACGAGAGUGGAGUGGUAGAGCAGUUCGAGUUUGCUUUUCUCUCUUGCUUGAUGGAUUGAUUGGUGUGCCUCGAUCCAUCGUCAGAGGUGCAUAUACUUAGCGACAAAUUCUCCGGCCACCGGCGACACUGUAAGAAAUUUAGGCCUCAUAGGAAUUCUAGAGGAUAGGAUUCUUAUAGGAUUUUUUCCUUUAGAGCCCUUUGGUUCAUAGGAAUGGAUUCCUAUUCCUACAUAGGAUUGGUUCCUAUCCUCUACAUUUCAUAGGAAAAUAAAAAAGAGCCUAGAGUCAAUGGAAAAAUUUCUUUGGUGUCAAUCAAAUGACAUCUUGUUUCCUAUUCCUACUCAUAGGAUUUGAGAUACAUGUCAUCUCAUUUCCUACAAGAUUCCUAUUCCUAUGAUAAUCCUAUCCUAUGAACCAAAAGAAGCCUUAGGGUUUUAGUCUAUUCCUAUUCCUCUGUGCUUAUCCGUAGAGCCGCUCAUAGAUCGUAUAUCUGAGGCUAGGGGUAGGGACUUUCUUAUAUUGUUUUUCCAAAGAGUCCACCUCUUAUAUAGAUAUAAGAUUCCUAUUUUUUCCACUAGUUUCCGGGAUAGAGUCCAGAUCAAAUUACCAACCACGAUCAUAUUUGUCUAUUAACGGAUUCUACCCGUUAUGUCUCUGAAGCACGCGUUUGUGAGCAACGCGCCAUAAUAGAGUGUAAAUUCCUCUAAUUAUGUAGAUCAACAUUAGGGCUGUAAUCUAACUAUACGAUCUAGCUCCUUCCAAUCAUCAGUGUACCCGGGUAGUCUUUCCAAUAUAACUACUAUAUUGUAUUCCACUGAUAAUCGAUCAACUUCCUUAAGCAUAUAACUUAAGUACAUUCCAACAAGUAACAAUUCCAUGAUAAACAUGUAAAGCAAUUCCAUGUAUAAAAACAUGUAUAAUUACAUAAUGAGGUAUUCCAAAUAUUAACAAUUUCAAGUCAUUUGAGUAUAGUUGCAGGACACAUAAUUCCAACAUCUCCCACUUGUCCAAAACGAUCGUUCAAAUAUUCGUAACCCCAUAGUCUUAACAUGCUUACCAAAUACCUCAUGACUAAUAGGCUUAGUCAAGGGUCAGCAACCAGGGUAACACUAUGUUGAAAAUCCAAAGAAAUAUAUAGUGAUACCUUCCCUCAGUAUGUUUCCUUGCUGUGACUCUUAAGAUCACUAGAGACCUUUAGUUUUCGCCUAAUUAUUCCAGCAUAGCUGUCCUCGGCGCCUCGAGUAUUAUUUCCUCGAGUGUAAUUCCUCCUUUAUAGGCACCUCGAUUAUUUUGUUCCUCAAGUGAAAUUUCGCAUCAAUUGUUUUCCAUCACAUAUAUCAAUAAUAUGAUUAAUUCCACAUUGAGUCAAAUAUAUGAUAACCAUGUAGAAUAAAAUUUCCAAAACCACAUAAAUAUCAAAUCCAAUCAGUAAAUGAAACUCCAUAAGCAACCAUGUUUUGAAAGAAAUUCCUGACUUCGGUCAGUGAACCUGCACCAUAUUAGUACUUCACAAAAAAAGGAUAUGCAUACCUGGACUUAUUUCUCAUCUCGUAGAUACAAUAAUAGCUUCCUCAGUGUGUUUACCUUUAAUAUAAAUUUCAAAAUAAGUGACAGGUUGUGAUGCACUUUCCACAAUCUUAUAUGAUGUGUGAGAUUCCCUUAGAUGCUCGUCUUUCCUUCCACUGCUUGAAUGAAGCAUAAAUUCUGAAAGCUAAGUUAUGAUAACAUAAUGAAGAUACAUACGAGUUCCAAUAUCAUUUAUUAUUCCACUUUUCUCAGUAGUUCAAAUAUAAUUCCUCACUGAGUAUGAUUCCCUUUACCAAAAGGUAUUUAACAGAUUUGCAAUUUUCCAUAGAGAAACAUUUCAAAAUAUUUUCUAUGUAUUUCCAAUCGUAAAACAUAGGAUGUUUAAAAUGUUCCUUUCAUAUGAAAGUUAAAAGAUGACCAAGCUUUCACUUCCAUCAAUGUGACUAUAUCAUUGCAAACAACAAAACAAUAUUAACAUAUACAAUAAUAAUGCAAAAUACUUUACACUUACAUUUGUAGAUGACCAUCUUGCUUCAUUUAGAAAACCAUAUGACCUGCUAUUCCAUUGAUGUGAAGCUUGUUAUAAGACCAUACGUUAAUAUACUCAAUUAGCAAACCAUGUCUUUAGUUCCUCUUUCCCAAAAUUCCAGGAGAGAGAGUUUCCACAAGGCAUAUUUCCCUUUGUGUGAAUAAUUGAAUAACAAGAGUGACAUUAUAAUAUUCCAGCGAGCCAAAUAUCCUUUAAAAAAAUCACUUCCAGACAAUAGGCUUGCAGUUAUUUGGUAUGAUAUUAAGUUCCCAAAGUAUGCUCUUCCUCAUUUGAGUUUAUUCCUUUCCUCAAUUCUUCCACCCAUAGUUAACAUUGAAAAAAAACUUCAAGGGAUUUAGCGAUUCCUCUAAAAUUUAGAGUGGCAUGCCCCAACAACAUACAACUAUUAUCCAAACAUGAUAUUCUGAGCUAAUUCCUCCCACUUAUCCUAAGCAUGUCAUGUUUGGAGUGUCACUUGUAGUUUCUUUGGGGUCAAGAUUAUAUUCCAGUAUGAUUGUCAAUAAUUCCACCCUUGAUCAUACAAAUAAUUGUGUUCCUACUUUCCACCAGUUUUCCUUUUCCGGGUAACAAAGGAAACACCCUUUGAUCCACUAGAAUAACCAUGAAAAAAAAUCCUGGUGUGCGCUUUGUAAUAACUGAGAAUUUCAUGCCAAAAUAGAAGAUUUCCUUCCAGUCAACUGAUUGUAGUAGAUGGAGAAUGAUAUCAACAAAUGACAGUAUGCAAUGCUUCCAAAGAAACAAGGGAGUAUACAAGACAUUCAAAAUCCUCCAUUCAAUUGUGGAGUGUAUGGUAUAUUACAAUGGUGAAUAGUUCCAUGCUCUCUACAUACAAACAAUAUAUUCCUGAAGUGUACUUCCCCCAUCAAUCAGUUGUUAAAACUAUGAUAUUAUUUAAUCAACUGAUUUUCCACUUCAGUAUAACAUGUGACCAACACAAUAAAACCUUCUGACUUGUAUAAUAAAUGAUAAACAUAACCAUAUAAAAGUGUAAUCAUCGAAGAGUGGGAUGAAAUAAAUAACCUGACCUCUAGUGGGGAUGUCCAAAGAAAUAUCAUAAGUAUAAAAAAACAAAUGUGAAGCCCUUUCAUCUCCUUCCACCUUAAUAAACAAGGUGUAUUAAAAAAUAUGCUUCACAUGUACCAUAGUCCUCCCACUAGAGUUCAAAAUUCCAGAAUCAAUAAGCCUCUUGAUCCAGUUCCAAGAUAUGUGACGAUAUGUAGAUAAUAAGAUUCCAAGCAUAUGUGUUCCCAUUGUCGAUAUUCCUCCGUAUGGAGUUAUCUUCGCAAAAUAUAAACAUUAUGGUUUGCAAACUUCCAAUGGACAUCAAGAAAGAUAGAUCAUUGUGUGAAAAUCCAUACUGCACUAAUUUAACUAUUGAGCAAUAUUUCCAUUCUUCCUUUUCCAAACAGUGUGUCAUAAUCAAUAGAUUCCAAGAUAUAACAAUAAAGCAAAUUCGUUCUUACUGAAGUUUCACAGAGUGUCCAGUAGCAAUAAUACCUUUUCUCCACAAGGGAGUUUCAUGGCAAAAUUUCCAAUUCCAAAGUGUAUAAGAUUUAGCAGCAAUGACAAAGCAUAGAAAUAUAUAUAUAUAUAUAUAUAUAUAUAUAUAUAUAUAUAUAUAUAUAUAUAUAAUUUCCUUUGGAACUGUUACCAUGUGAACAAAAUUGCUAUUGCAUUCCAGCAAUAUGAGACAUAACCACAAUCCAGCUACAUGAAAAAAUAUCCCUGAAUAAAUAAAUAUAGUGCAAAUAUUAUCAUCAGGCAUAUCAACAAUUGAAGAGAAAUUUCCUUGUCCACGGACUGACUCCCAACUUCCUCCACAAACAAGUGAUGCUGAGUAAUAAGAUCUUUUCUAGAUGUGCAUAAUUUCCAUGCUAUCUUUUCACUGAAGUAAUUGCCGGCCCAUCCGGGCACUCAUGAUCUAAGGUCCUUGGAUUUCUUUUUUGUAUGGACUAGUAUUCUUCUGAGGAGUAAAUAUCAUCUCCUUGUCAUGAAUUGCAUGCAAUAGAUCUGAGAAAAAAAUUAAUCAGUGAUCAAAUAAAAUGAUUAAAACCAUGGAUGCGUUUGGUGCGUGUAGUCCUUCCAGCAAGCUGGCCGUUGCUUGCAAAAGUUCGUUCCACUUUCGUGUUAUUUGCCUUCCUGCAUAUACCAAAGUACUACACGCCUUCGUAUUGAAGCAGUAGAAGCAAAAGAAGUUUCUCUUUUCCUUCAGCUAUCCUUGCGAAGUGGCCGUUCAGAGAAGAAGCAGCAUGCAGUGUUGGUUAUGGCAAAAGUCAACCGGCCGUCGUUUGUCCGAUGGGAUGCAACGAAACCAUCAAGGCAACACAUAGUCACGUACAGGCAGCGGUAGGAUGGCAAGCUUGUCCACGUCUUCGGUUGUCAACAGGCCGCCGAACGCAGCGGAAUUUCCUGGCCAGGACCUCAAGCCAGUGAUGCAGUCGGGUCGCGUCGGACGCAUCUGAGCGACACUGACACGGAGCAGCGAACCCAACGACGCGAAGGUCUAGUGGCGACCUUGUGGCGAACUCGUCGAUGCGGAGGUCACCGGCGGUAGUCCAGCUCGACUCGGCGCGGAACAACACGGAGUCGACGGAGUGGACUUGGAGCGGCGGCUCCGAGAACCCAAUCAAGAAAAAAAUCUUACGAUUCACAAAGAGAGUUAAUUUCCUACACAGGGAGCAUCUUGCAUGGUGUGCCUCGUAUAUGGGUUGGGUGCAUGAUUGAGCCACGCACUAGCAGACGAUGUGAACUUUGCUUUGACUAUUCUAGAUCAUACGAAGCCUCCAACAACUUGGUGUAAUCAGCAUGGCGCGAGCGCAAGCUGGCUAGCAGCGCCCGAUCGGCGUCAGCCCUAGAGUCGUGCGAUGAGGAGGAUCCCGAGCGAUCUGGAGGAGCAGAGUUUGAUCCGGUGGCAGAGUUCGGUCCUGGUGGACCGACUAGGAUCACGGCGGCGGCGUGACCUAAACCUUGCUCAACAUACCAAUGUAAGAAAUUUAGGGUUUUAGUCUACUCUCUAUUUCUCUGCGCUUAUCCGUGGUGUCGCUCACAAAUCGCAUAUCUGAGGCUAGGGGGUAGGGACCUUCUUAUAUUGUUUUUUCAAAGAGUCCACCUCUUAUACAGAUAUAAGAUUUCUAAUUUUUUUUCCACUAGUUUUCGGGAUAGAGUCCAGAUCAAAUUACCAACCACGAUCAUAUUUGUCUGUUAACGGAUUCUACCCGUUAUGUCCCUGGAGCACGCGCUUGUCAGCAACGCGCCAUAAUAGAGUGUAAAUUCAUCUAAUUAUGUAGAUCUACAUUAGGGCUGUAAUCUAACUAUACGAUCUAGCUCCUUCCAAUCAUCAGUGUAUCCGAUAGUCUUUCCAAUAUAACUACUAUAUUGUAUUCCACUGAUAAUCGACCAGCUUCCUUAAGCAUACAACUUAAGUACAUUCCAGCAAGUAACAAUUCCAUGAUAAACAUGUAAAGCAAUUCCAUGUAUAAAAACAUGUAUAAUUCCAUAAUGAGGUAUUCCAAAUAUUAACAAUUUCAAGUCAUUUGAGUAUAGUUGCAGGACACAUAAUUCCAACAUCUCCCACUUGUCCAAAACAAUCGUUCAAAUAUACGUAACCCCAUAGUCUUAACAUGCUUACCAAAUACCUCAUGACUAAUAGGCUUAGUCAAGGGUCAGCAACCAGGGUAACACUAUGUUGAAAAUCCAAAGAAAUAUAUAGUGAUACCUUCCCUCAGUAUGUUUCCUUGCCGUGACUCUUAAGAUCACUAGAGACAUUUAGUUUUCGCCUAAUUAUUCCAGCAUAGCUGUCCUCGGCGCCUCGAGUAUUAUUUCCUCGAGUGUAAUUCCGCCUUUAUAGGCACCUCGAUUAUUUUGUUUCUCAAGUGAAAUUCCGCAUCAAUUGUUUUCCAUCACAUAUAUCAAUAAUAUGAUUAAUUCCACAUUGAGUCAAAUAUAUGAUAACCAUGUAGAAUAAAAUUUCCAAAACCACAUAAUAUCAAAUCCAAUCAGUAAAUGAAACUCCAUAAGCAACCAUGUUUUGAAAGAAAUUCUUGACUUCGGUCAGUGAACCUGCACCAUAUUAAUACUUCACAAAAAAAGGAUAUGCGUACCUGGACUUAUUUCUCAUCUCGUAGAUACAAUAAUAGCUUCCUCAGUGUGUUUAUCUUUAAUAUAAAUUUCAAAACAAGUGACGGGUUGUGAUGCACUUUCCACAAUCUUAUAUGAUGUGUGAGAUUCCCUUAGAUACUCGUCUUUCCUUCCACUGCUUGAAUGAAGCAUAAAUUCCGAAAGCUAAGUUAUGAUAACAUAAUGAAGAUACAUACGAGUUCCAAUAUCAUUUAUUAUUUCACUUUUCUCAUUAGUUCAAAUAUAAUUCCUCACUGAGUAUGAUUCCCUUUAUCAAAGGUAUUUAACAGAUUUGCAAUUUUCCAUAGAGAAACAUUUCAAAAUAUUUUCUAUGUAUUUCAUAGGAUGUUUAAAAUGUUUCUUGCAUAUGAAAGUUAAAAGAUAACCAAGCUUUCACUUUCAUCAAUAUGACGGCGCAUGGUAAUCAAACCGGAUCCUCAGCUCAAUACGUAGGAGCAUCGGUGUUAAUUGCACUGCUCUGAAUAUCUGACGGUGGUUUUCUUGAUGUUGUUGUGAGUGAAGGUUGUUCAACUACAAGAUCGGCAUCCACCUGCUGCAGUCGAAGCAUCCCGAGAGCUUACCGGCGAAGAAGGAGAUCAACCCCAAGGAUAACCACAUCUCCUUCCAGGUACGUUGUGCGUAGUUAAUUUCGAUUUGGUUGCGAACACUGCUGCUAUGGCUGAGAUGGCUAGGAUACAUCGUCCAGGACUGAAAGAUGGUAACGGUUGCCUUCCUUCUUUUUCUUGAACAUAAGGCUCACAUACACUCUCUCUACAAACGCGCACACACCAGCAUCCCUACCCUUAUAAGUAGACACGGGACCAGUACAACAUUUUGAGGUUGGCGAAGUCAUCACAGGUGUCUCGUGAUCGACGGGGCGUCUCCUCCCAUUGAACAAAUUUGUAACGGUCCUCUUUUUAUUGAGAGGAAGGAAUUAACUUGCUUGGUGCGUAGGCGAGAUAGGUUAGGUUCUCCGUCGUCGUUAGCUGCUCCUUUCUAUGCCCGUCACGUUUUAUCCAACCCUUGUUGGCACAUGCGAGGGUUGCUUUCAGCACACGUGAUACAACGUUAUGCGGAAGGAACUUGCUCGUCGCGACCCUUAGCCAGACCUCAAAAUUAAAACAAGCCAAUGAUUAGACGAGAUACAGUAUGUCUUGUAACGAAGGGCGCCAGACCCUGGGGCAGAGGCAGACAACAAACAUGGCAGGAUGCAUGUGUUACACUUACACAGCCGGCAAAUUGUGUUCACGUGCACGUCAAAGUGGGUGUGACUGUGCGUCCAGUACUUGCACGUCACAUGUUCAUACAAUGCGGUUUUAUUAUCCCACGGUACAUACAUGCACUUACCGGGUCGCUGUCCACGGUGACAAAGCUAGAUAGGCAUGAAGAAAUGGGCGUAGAAAGUGGGCAUUCAAUCGUUCGGUGGUACCCAUGCUGCGUAUAGGAACCGUGAACUGGUUGGCCACGUUGCAACACAAAGUUCCUCGGAUCCGUGUUCCGUGGAAAGGCUAUGUAUGCCUACCCAGGAAAGGCUGCCCAACAUUUCUCGAACGAUAGGUGCAAUUUGAGUUAGGCAAAAUUAUUCUCUCUCUAUUUUUGAGGUUGGGCAAAAUUAUUUUUUUGUUGCGAAAGUGAUACAGAUCUAUUAUCAAAGUUCAGUGAAAAUGAUUAAAACAUAAAUGAUUAAAGUUCAGUGAAAGUACAAAGUUUGGUGUUCCAAGAUGUUGCAGCAUGCGUAUGUGGUCUAGAUUCAGAACCACCAAAAAACCUAUAGCCUCAAGAGGGUUGCUUGUGGAACUCUCUAGAACGCACGUAUGCAUUGCAUGUCCCCCGUGGCCAAAAGCAGUUCGGUCAUCUCCAUCACCAACAGAGCAGGGGGUUGCUUUUCCCACAAACAAAGCCACAUGGAUGAUACUCCACAGCUUGGUCCCAUCAGCAAGACAGCUCUCCCUCCCUCCCUCUCUCUCAGGGUAUUAGGGUGUGACGAAAGGGACGUCGGACAGCCCGCAUGUUGUUCGGCAGUAACAGUGCCGUUAUGUGCCAUCGAUCGGUUCUUUGGAUCAAUCAUGGCAUGGGCGACAGCUCAUUUUACUACAUCGGUGGCCGACAAGGACGGGUCGGGCUGGUGUGCGCGGCGCAUAGAUCUUUAAUUUCACGCGUUGGUUUCUUGUUCCGUCGUGUUGCACUGGUUCUCUGGCAUGCACGAUGGAUACCAGGUCUAGUCACCGCUCACCACAUAGAAACGAGUUGCAUGCUGAGUCACGAUGUCUCGCUAGCUCAAGAAUGUGGAAGUCCACUUCUGAGAUCAAUUGAGGCGUCCUCUUAGUCGCCGGGCGGCUGGACGUGGGGGAAACAGCGGCGGGGAACCAGCUUGCUCCCCGGCGGUAAAACGGCGGCGGCGGGCGACUGGGGGUAGGGGCGGCGUUGCUGGGCGGAUGUGGAGGCGGCGGUAGCUGAAAGAGUCGCCGGCAAAAUAGGCGGCGCCGUCGCGGGAGGAGACAAGGGCGAGGGUUGCUUGUUGGCUGGGGGGAGGGAAGGCCAAUGUGCCCCCGACGAGCGGGCCCAGGACAGGAGUAGGCGAGCAAGCGCGCGUUCGUCGCGUGUCCGCGCCGACGCAAAUCAGGCUUAAAAAUGGACUGGGAAUGGAUCGCCCGCGGACGAAAAACGGACGCGCGUCCAUUUAGGCCGCCUUUUCUGUUCGCGCUGACCCAAACAGACGGUCACGGACGAAAUGGGUCGUCCCAUUGAAGUUGCUCUAACAAAAACAUUCUGGGACUAAUGGCCGAGCAAAAUGCGUGUUUGUUUGCAGUGCGAGAGCAUGGUGGCGGUGGAGCGGCGGCUCAAGGAGCUGGGCAUCCCGUACAUCCAGCGGUGCGUGGAGGAGGGCGGCAUCUACGUGGACCAGAUCUUCUUCCACGACCCCGAUGGCUUCAUGAUCGAGAUCUGCAACUGCGACAACCUCCCGAUCGUCCCGCUCGCCGACCAGACCUUCGCAAUGGCCGCCUGCAAGAGGGCCGCCUCCGUCAAGCAACAGCAGGUGCCCAUGCCAGUCGCACAAGUAGCGCAAGCAACCCCUGCUCCGACGGUGGCCGCGGCUUCGCAGUGCAUUCCGGCGCUGAACCCGGCCUUGCAGCGCGUCGGCGGCGAGGAGGCGGCGCAUAUCUCGUGCGCGUGAGAGGUGGGAGGCCGGGGUAGCCAGGCCGCCCAACUGGUGGCGCGCUCCGUGGAGUCGUGGUUUUUGUAUAUUGUGAUAUAACAGUGUGCGUAUGAAUAAAG